RNAcentral lists this ribosomal RNA (433 nucleotides) under uncultured bacterium. RNAcentral describes it as "partial 16S ribosomal RNA". It matches the Rfam family "Bacterial small subunit ribosomal RNA", at positions 29 to 507 of the family's 1533-position model. The record is from RNAcentral.
AACGAACGCUGGCGGCAUGCCUAACACAUGCAAGUCGAACGAGACCUUCGGGUCGAGUGGCGCACUGGUGCGUAACGCGUGGGAACCUGCCAUUAGGUUCUGAAUAACUCCCCGAGAGGGGUGCUAAUGCCGGAUAAUGUCGUCGGAACAAAGAUUUAUCGGCUUUGGAUGUGCCCGCGUUGGAUUAGCUAGUUGGUAGGGUAAACGCCUACCAAGGCGACGAUCCAUAGCUGGUCUGAGAGGAUGAUCAGCCACACUGGGACUGAGACACGGCCCAGACUCCUACGGGAGGCAGCAGUGGGGAAUGUUGGACACUGGGCGAAAGCCUGAUCCAGCAAUGCCGCGUGAGUGAUGAAGGCCUUAGGGUUGUAAAGCUCUUUUACCCGGGAUGAUAAUGACAGUACCGGGAGAAUAAGCUCCGGCUAACUCCGUG